RNAcentral lists this transfer RNA (77 nucleotides) under Gammaproteobacteria bacterium. RNAcentral describes it as "tRNA-Lys". It matches the Rfam family "tRNA". Rfam says of the family: Transfer RNA (tRNA) molecules are approximately 80 nucleotides in length. Lineage: Bacteria; Pseudomonadati; Pseudomonadota; Gammaproteobacteria. The record is from RNAcentral.
GGGUCGUUAGCUCAGCCAGGUAGAGCAGCGGACUUUUAAUCCGUUGGUCGCAGGUUCGAUCCCUGCACGACCCACCA